This 810-nucleotide long non-coding RNA is filed under the name Anas platyrhynchos platyrhynchos (common mallard). RNAcentral's name for it is "lncRNA (ENSAPLG00000024257.1)". The record is from RNAcentral. Lineage: Eukaryota; Metazoa; Chordata; Aves; Anseriformes; Anatidae.
GCCAAAUGAAACAAGUCACUUCUGCAAGGAGUUUGUAUGACUUUCCAAAUGAGGAAAAAGUCAAAAUCUCAGGGACUGUGACAUGAUUGCUACAGAAGAUGAAGAAAACAUGGCCCAGCAACCAGCUUCAUGAGGAAAGAGGACCACAGCUUUCCUUCAGAAAGCAUCAGGCUUCUGAAAUCCCAACAUUCAUUCAAGUGGAUGUAUUAGAAGAAAUGGUGAUAUGUAAGGCAUCUACUCACUGGGAUCUUACCCCUCGUUGCAAAGCAGCCACAUGGUUUGGAGAAUGUCCAGUCUUAAAAUUAAUGGGUGAGUGUGUUCCACAGAGAAAUAACUCUAACCACAAUUUGGCUAGACCAUAAAGUGUUUUUUUUUUCUAUUUUUUUUUCUUGCUUUUGGCAUCUGGAACCAUAUUUCUAAUGGAUUCACUUCCCUUGAGACAGGUAGUGAAAGAAAGGUGCGUAGUCCCAAACUGGAAACUUAGGUUGUUUCUUUGCUUUCUUUUCUGUGACUUAAAUAGUAUUAAUUACUUUGUAAGCAGAAAAGUCAAUUGUCUUACAGCCUGACAGCAUUUGGUUGUGUUCCUGAGAUGUGAGUCUUUGUGCUAAGAAGAAAUUACAUCCAGCCGGGACGUGUUCCAACACUGACAACAGCCCUGGGAUCAAUGCUGUAAUGGCUUUUGGCUCUCACUUCCCUUGAACGUGGCUUGUGUAAGCUCAAAGACCAUGUUAAACACAAGGCAGUCCAGUACGUUAAGCUGGCUUUGAAAUGAAUCAAAUGUAAAUGAAUAAAUCAAAGUAGCAUGUUGCA